UCGAUCCUUAUAUCGAGCGCAAAGCUUUCGACGAGACAAAAGGAGGAGUAAAAGGCCUCGUCGACGCUAAAAUCACUGAAGUUCCUCGAAUCUUCCACAUACCUCAAGAUACCUUAACAGACAAGAAACCAUCUGCCUCUGUAUUAGACCUAGAGAUCCCUACCAUCGACUUUGCAAGCGUUCACGUGGACACGGCAUCACGUGAAGCCGUCGUAGAGAAAGUCAAAUACGCGGCGGAGAAGUGGGGAUUCUUCCAGGUGGUCAAUCAUGGUGUUCCUUUAAACGUUCUUGAAGAGAUCAAAGAUGGAGUUCGCAGGUUUCACGAGGAAGAUCCUGAGGUCAAGAAACGAUACUUCUCGCGUGAUAUCGCCAAUAAAAAUUUUGUCUACAACAGUAAUUUCGAUCUAUACAGUCCUUCGCCGUCUGUUAACUGGAGAGAUACUUUCCAGUGUUACAUAGCUCCAGAUCCUCCAACUCCUGAGGAACUCCCAGUGACUUGCAGGUGACGGUAACAUACUUAACAUCUUUUUCUUCACUUAAAUAUAUUUGGAGGUCGCAAUUCACAAACCUAAUCAUCAAUCAGAGCUGCAAACUGCAAUGGCCAUAUAAAUUUCUUAGAGGCUAAGAAGGAUAUGCAUAAGUUUGUAAAGUAUUAUCAAUCGAUUUGAACGUCUAAACUUUGAAAAGAGAGUGAUUGAUUUCUAACAUCAUUGAUUGACUCAGGGAUGCUAUGUUCGAAUACUCAAAGCAUGUGCUGAGUUUAGGUGGUCUGCUCUUAGAGCUUCUCUCAGAAGCCCUAGGUUUGAAUUCUGAGAUCCUUAAGAGCAUGGAUUGCUUAAAGAAUUUGCUCAUGGUCUGCCAUUAUUACCCUCCGUGUCCACAACCAGACCUAACUUUGGGGAUAAGUAAACACUCAGACACCUCUUUCCUCACGGUUCUUCUUCAAGACAACAUCGGUGGUCUUCAAGUUCUUCAUCAAGACUCUUGGGUAGAUGUCGCUCCUCUUCCUGGAGCUCUCAUCAUCAACAUCGGAGAUUUCUUGCAGGUAAAGUAAGAUUAUGAAAUAGAUACUUAAUACAUUAAUCUAAAAUGUGUUUUUUAUUUAUAUAUAUUCCUAAUUUGAUUUCGCAGCUGAUAACGAACGAUAAGUUUGUAAGUGUGGAGCAUAGGGUGCUUGCGAAUAGACAAGGACCAAGAAUUUUUCAGUAGCAAGCUUUUUCAGCUCAAGUAAAGGGCCCGAUUCCACAGUUUAUGGACCGAUGAAAGAGCUUGUGUCUGAAAACAACCCUCCAAAAUAUAGAGACAUAACCUUGAAAGAAUACACAGAAGGAUUCAUUGAGAAAGGUCUCGAUGGAACAUCGCAUCUCUUGAAUUUCAGGAUAUGAAUUCUGUGUGUUUGUUAGCAUCAGUCACUCUGUUCUUGGCUCUUUAAUAAUAAAACCAGUGUACCUAAAGAAAAAUGUGCGUUUCUACGUAAAUGUAAUGAGCUACUCUGUAUUUGGAUCUUUCUACUUUAGCCAAUAAGUAUCCCAUUACGUAGCCAUAAGUGAAUGCAUUGCAUUGAUUUGAUCUAAAGAUUCAAAACUUUAUUUUUGCUUUCUACCUCUUCAGUUCUUGUUUGAGAUUGUGACAAGGAUGAAGUUAUUUUCGUUACCACACCAAUUUUAAUUGCUUAUUUUAUAUAUAUGCCUAUAUGGAAUGGAGAACUAACCAAAGAAAAUGUCGACUCUUACCUGGAUAGUGGAUACUAUCCCACAUCCAUAUUAAUUAAUUUAUAUGGAAUUUAAUUUUUAGAAAGUAAUGAGUUUACGCCUUACGGGUAGCUGUAAAUGACAUUUAAAAUAAUAUACAGUUAUAUUCAUUUAUGCCGAGGACAUUUUUAUAAAACAGGGGAGUAUUUUUUUUAUAUAUAUAAAAUUUUAGUUAUACCUAUUAAAAUGCAUAAGUUAUCUUUUUUUUUUAAUUUUUUAACAUCUGCCAUCUUAAUUAAAAUUAUCUUGAAAGAGUUCAACAUGACCCCAUUUAUGAUGAUCAACUAGUCGAACAAAUUCACCAUGUACAAAGAGCAAUAUUGAAAGAGUUCCAGCUUUUCUUUUGUAAAAAUAUUAGACAACACCUCUUUUGGGGAGUAGUAUUAGGUAGAACUAUAUGCAUAAUUGAGCAAUUAGUCCAUAAUAAACCAAAAUCAGAGAAGAAAAAGUUAACUACGACAAGUCGUUAAAGUGAGCGUGAGAGAAAGAGAGAGACAACGAUCAGUUACAAAGUCUACAAAAACGGACAUAUUCGGUCCCACACACCAAAGACCAAAAUUCCUACCGUCGAUUCUCUUAGUCGUCCAUUUUUGUCUUCACUUUGCUAUAUCUUCUUCUUAAGUAGAAAUCUUAUGAAAAAGAAAGCAAAAAGAAUGAAUGGUGACCUAAAACUCGAUCGAGUUCGAUCCUUAUAUCGAACGAAAGGCUUUCAGCGAGACAAAAGAAGGAGUAAAACUGUAAAAGGACUCGUCGACGCUAAAAUCACCGAAGUCCCUCGAAUCUUCCACGUCCCGAAAGAUUCCUCAACAGACAAGAAACCAUCUGUCUCUGUUUCAGACCUAGAGAUCCACAAAAAUGCACAUGCUCGGUCCCACACACUAAUGACCAAAUGCUAACCGUCGGUUCUCUUUUUGUUUUUUUAUCCACAUUUUGCUUUAUCUUCUUCAAAACAGACAUCUUGUAAGAAAACAAAAAAAAAAGAAGGAAAAAGAUGGUGACCGAAAACUCGAUCGAAUUCGAUCCUUAUGUCGAGCGCAAAGCUUUCGACGAGACAAAAGAAGGAGUCAAAGGCCUCGUCGACGCUAAAAUCACAGAGGUCCCACGAAUCUUCCACGUCCCGCAAGAUUCCGCAACAGACAAGAAACCCUCUGUUUCUGUUUCCGACCUAGAGAUCCCUACCAUCGACUUCGCAAGCGUCCACGUGGACACGGCGUCACGUGAAGCCGUCGUAGAGAAAGUCAAAUACGCGGCGGAGAAGUGGGGGUUCUUCCAGGUGAUCAAUCAUGGUGUUCCUUUACACGUUCUUGAAGAGACCAAAGAUGGAGUUCGCAGGUUUCACGAGGAAGAUCCUGAGGUCAAGAAACGAUAUUUCUCGCGUGAUUCCGCCAGUAAAAAGUUUUUCUACAACAGUAAUUUCGAUCUAUACAGUUCUUCUCCGUCUGUUAGCUGGAGAGAUACUUUCACUUGUUUCAUAGCUCCAGAACCUCCUUCUCCUGAGGAACUCCCAGUGACUUGCAGGUGACGGUAACAUACUUGACAUAUUUUUUUCUUUUUCUUAAAUAUGCCUGUGAUUUGAAAAAGGUUGUAAAGAAAUUAGUGUUUUAACCGGUUAAUUUUCUUAUGGUGUAAGCCGGAUUGGACAGUACUCUUGUAUGCAUCAAGCACAAAAUUAAUCGUUGACUAGUACUAAAUUAUUAUGUGAGUCCUUUAAAAGAUAGUGAUUUGAUUUAUAACAUCAUUGAUUGACUCAGGGAUGCUGUGAUCGAAUACUCAAAGCAUGUGAUGGUUUUAGGUGGUUUGCUCUUUGAGCUACUCUCAGAAGCCCUAGGUUUGAAUUCUGAUAUACUUAAGAGCAAGGAUUGCUUAAAGUCUUUGCUCAUGCUCGGCCAUUAUUACCCACCUUGUCCACAACCUGACCUAACUUUGGGGAUAAAUAAACACUCAGACAACUCUUUCCUCAGUGUUCUUCUUCAAGACAACAUCGGUGGUCUUCAAGUUCUUCAUCAAGACUCUUGGGUUGAUGUCGCUCCUCUUCCUGGAGCUCUCGUCAUCAAUAUCGGAGAUUUCUUGCAGGUGAAGCAAGAUUAUCAAACAGAUACCUAAUACAUUAAUCUAAAUUUAUUUAUAUAUAUGCCGAAUUUGAUUUCGCAGCUGAUAACGAACGAUAAGUUUGUAAGUGUGGAGCAUAGGGUGCUUGCGAAUAGACAAGGACCAAGGAUUUCAGUAGCAAGCUUUUUCAGCUCAAGUAAACGGCACGGUUCCACAGUUUAUGGACCGAUGAAAGAGCUUGUGUCUGAAAACAACCCUCCAAAAUACGGAGACAUAACCAUAAAAGAAUACUCAGAAGGAUACUUUAAGAAAGGUCUCGACGGAACAUCGCAUCUCUUGAAUUUCAGGAUAUAAAAUUUGUGUGUUUCUUAGCAUCAAUUACUCUGUUCUUGGCUCUGCAAUAUAUAUAUAUAUAUACAUAUAUAUUUAUUUUAUUUAGCAAAAACAAAAUAUGUAAUGUAUAUGUGCUGAGUCUGUCAUUAUGCUCGGUUUCGUCAUGCCAUUCAUAUCACCACCCAUAUAUUAUUAUAUGUAUAAGUGGAACUUUAUGAAGGUCAUUAUUAUUGGACCAAUUUAUAAAUUCUAGUUGUUGAACGAUCACCAUGUAGCUAUAUUGAAAGAGUAUCAGUUUUUAUUCUGCCCAAAAAUAUUAGAUAACACAUGUUUUGGGGAUUAGUAAUAUAGAGUAACUUCAACACAAGACUCAAAAACUUUUCAAAUAAAUGAUCAAAUCCAUUAUUUGGUAAUCCAGAAAAAUCUCCUCAGUUUGAGCACUCAAAUUACGGUAACUAAAGUGGAAUAUUCUAGGGCUAUAUGCAUAAUUAAGUAAUUAGUCCAUAAUAAACCAAAAGCAGAGAAGAAAAAUUCAACUACGACAAGUCGUUAAAAUGAGUAUGAGAGAAAGAGAGAGGCAACAUUCAUGUGAAUAUGUGAUCAUCAGUUACAAAGUCCACAAAAACGGAGAAAUUAUAUUCGGUCCCACACAUACACCAAAGACCAAAUUACUCCUACCGUCAAUUCUUAGUUUUGUCUUCCCCCUUCGCUAGUUCUUCUUCUAAGCAAAAAUCUUGUGAAAAAGGAAAGUAAAAAGAAUGGUGACCAAAAACUCGAUUGAAUUUGAUCCUUUUAUUGAACGAAAGGCUUUUGACGAGACAAAAGUAGGAGUAAAAGGGCUCGUCGACGCUAAAAUUACCGAGGUCCCACGAAUCUUCCACGUCCCGAAAGAUUCCUCAACAGACAAGAAACCAUCUGUCUCUGUUUCCGACCUAGAGAUCCCUACCAUCGACUUGGCAAGCGUCCACGUGGACACAGCGUCACGUGAAGCCGUCGUAGAGAAAGUCAGAUACGCGGCGGAGAAGUGGGGUUUCUUCCAGGUGGUCAAUCAUGGUAUUCCAUUAAACGUUCUUAAGGAG
This 5212-nucleotide long non-coding RNA is filed under the name Eutrema salsugineum. RNAcentral's name for it is "long non-coding RNA (ESAL_LNC001149)". The record is from RNAcentral. Lineage: Eukaryota; Viridiplantae; Streptophyta; Magnoliopsida; Brassicales; Brassicaceae.